Molecule: unclassified non-coding RNA, 379 nt
Filed under: uncultured Rhodospirillales bacterium
Lineage: Bacteria; Pseudomonadati; Pseudomonadota; Alphaproteobacteria; Rhodospirillales
Description: contains 16S-23S intergenic spacer region
Source: RNAcentral
UCCGCGUUAUCCGCGGCGGUUACCUUAAAGUGCCCAACUGAAUGCUGGCAAUUAAGGUCGAGGGUUGCGCUCGUUGCGGGACUUAACCCAACAUCUCACGACACGAGCUGACGACAGCCAUGCAACACCUGUCUCUGGUCCAACUAAAUGCCCCUCCUCUUUCAAGGAAAGUCUACCAGGAUGUCAAGGCUUGGUAAGGUUCUUCGCGUAUCUUCGAAUUAAUGGACAUGCUCCACCACUUGUGCGGGUCCCCGUCAAUUCCUUUGAGUUUUAACCUUGCGGCCGUAAUCCCCAGGCGGCAUACUUACCGCGUUAGCUAAGCCACCGAGUUCUGUAGCGAACCCGACAGCGAGUAUGCAUCGUUUACGGCGUGGACUAC